CGUGCUCCCUUAUUUCUGCUUAUCAUCACCUGUUAUAAAAUGAGAACAAUGCCUUGCUAGUUGACUUACUCUUCCACUGUCAAAGCCCUGUUUCCUGAAGCAUUCUCCCCUGUUCUGAAAUAACUCUCUGGGUUCACCGUCAUGCUGUGGAUGUUUGGUCAGGACGUGUCGUUUAAAUUUGUUUGUUUUGAGAGAAUCAUUACUAAGCACUUCCCCGCACAAAACACAUUGCGGGCAAUCCUCGCUAUUUCUCAAAGUUUGUACAAAACCAAGAGUGAGAAACUCAUCGCUGUAUUUGCGUUUCAUGACGAUUGAGCUCAGUCAGAACUUGUGGCUAGCUUGAGUCCAUUUGAUGACAGUGGUACGUGAUGGAGAGAGGGAAUGACAAGUCAGCGGCGGACAGCACAUCAUCUGCUGUUGAACAACAGAGCUGCAGCGUGUGGGUCGCAGAGUGAUGUUCACGAAAACUGCAGAAAAAAGACCCGGUAAACGACGAAGCAUACAUCUUCCUCCCAUUCGAGCAGCUGUCAAACAGAGCUGAGAUACCGCUGCUAAACAGAUGCCCGGCAUCAGAACAUUCCAGGCAUUCCCGUGAUUGGCAGAUAGCAGGUUGAUUGGCAUAGCAGACCCUGCAAACACUGGGUACUGUCAGAACAAUGAUUCAUUCUGAGCCCUGGGCCCUGGCUGGA
Molecule: long non-coding RNA, 689 nt
Organism: Oncorhynchus tshawytscha (Chinook salmon)
Lineage: Eukaryota; Metazoa; Chordata; Actinopteri; Salmoniformes; Salmonidae
Source: Ensembl